This 77-nucleotide transfer RNA is filed under the name Synergistetes bacterium ADurb.Bin155. RNAcentral describes it as "tRNA-Arg". It matches the Rfam family "tRNA". From Rfam's summary of the family: Transfer RNA (tRNA) molecules are approximately 80 nucleotides in length. Their secondary structure includes four short double-helical elements and three loops (D, anti-codon, and T loops). Further hydrogen bonds mediate the characteristic L-shaped molecular structure. tRNAs have two regions of fundamental functional importance: the anti-codon, which is responsible for specific mRNA codon recognition, and the 3' end, to which the tRNAs corresponding amino acid is attached (by aminoacyl-tRNA synthetases). tRNAs cope with the degeneracy of the genetic code in two manners: having more than one tRNA (with a specific anti-codon) for a particular amino acid; and 'wobble' base-pairing, i.e. permitting non-standard base-pairing at the 3rd anti-codon position. The record is from RNAcentral. Lineage: Bacteria; Thermotogati; Synergistota. RNAcentral also lists the same sequence under 5 other names.
GCGCCGGUAGCUCAAUUGGAUAGAGCAUCGGACUACGGAUCCGAAGGUUACGGGUUCGACUCCUGUCCGGCGCGCCA